CCUACGGGUGGCUGCAGUCGAGAAUCAUUCACAAUGGGGGAAACCCUGAUGGGGCGACGCCGCGUGGGGGAAUGAAGGUCUGCGGAUUGUAAACCCCUGUUAUGGGGGAGCAAAUUAAAAAGAUAGUACCACAAGAGGAAGAGACGGCUAACCCUGUGCCAGCAGCCGCGGUAAGACAGAGGUCUCAAGCGUUGUUCGGAAUCACUGGGCGUAAAGUGUGCGUAGGCUGUUUCGUAAGUCGGGUGUGAAAGGCGCGGGCUCAACCCGCGGACGGCACAUGAUACUGCGAGACUAGAGUACUGGAGAGGGAACCGGAAUUCUCGGUGUAGCCGUGAAAUGCGUAGAUAUCGGGAGGAACACUCGUGGCGAAGGCGGGUUCCUGGACAUUAACUGACGCUGAGGCACGAAGGCCAGGGGAGCGAAAAGGAUUAGAUACCCGGGUAGUC
This 446-nucleotide ribosomal RNA is filed under the name uncultured bacterium. Its description in RNAcentral is "partial 16S ribosomal RNA". It matches the Rfam family "Bacterial small subunit ribosomal RNA", at positions 338 to 795 of the family's 1533-position model. The record is from RNAcentral.